GGAGUGAAGCGGCAAAAGCUCAAAUUUGAAACCCUCGGGAUUGUAAUUUGAAGAUUUGGCAUUGGAGAAAGCUAACCCAAGUUGCUUGGAAUAGUACGUCAUAGAGGGUGACAACCCCGUCUGGCUAACCGUUCUCCAUGUAUUGCCUUAUCAAAGAGUCGAGUUGUUUGGGAAUGCAGCUCAAAGUGGGUGGUAAACUCCAUCUAAAGCUAAAUACUGGUGAGAGACCGAUAGCGAACAAGUACUGUGAAGGAAAGGUGAAAAGAACUUUGAAAAGAGAGUGAAAUAGUAUGUGAAAUUGUUGAUAGGGAAGGAAAUGAGUGGAGAGUGGCCGAGGUUUCAGCCGCCCCUCGUGGGCGGUGUACUGCCGACGCCGAGUCAUCGAUAGCGAGACGAGGGUUACAAAUGGGAGCGCCUUUCGGGCGUUCUCCCCUAACCCUCCACACUGCCACCGACGACAUAAUCCACCCAUUUCACCCGUCUUGAAACACGGACCA
Molecule: ribosomal RNA, 497 nt
Filed under: Yarrowia sp. 8c-1
Lineage: Eukaryota; Fungi; Ascomycota; Dipodascomycetes; Dipodascales
Description: eukaryotic LSU rRNA
Rfam family: Eukaryotic large subunit ribosomal RNA
Source: RNAcentral